Small nucleolar RNA from Pteronotus mesoamericanus, 134 nucleotides. RefSeq annotates it as small nucleolar RNA SNORA1. NCBI's taxonomy places the organism in Eukaryota, Metazoa, Chordata, Mammalia, Chiroptera, Mormoopidae. The transcript has a single exon. The record is from RefSeq and is a predicted model, not a curated record.
AGCCUCUUUCUUGAACGAGUCUGGGCACUGCUGCUCAGCGUCCAGAAGUUGUUAAUGGGGCUACACUGAGACACAGCCUAUACUCCUAUCUCAGUAAAUUUGUUUUGAUGGUGACAAUGAGACCUGUAAUAUUU